RNAcentral lists this long non-coding RNA (202 nucleotides) under Elaeis guineensis (African oil palm). RNAcentral describes it as "long non-coding RNA (EGUI_LNC006426)". The record is from RNAcentral. Lineage: Eukaryota; Viridiplantae; Streptophyta; Magnoliopsida; Arecales; Arecaceae.
GCCUAGAAAUAUUAAAGAUUGAGAGUGAGUACGAGAAGCAUAGAUAAAUUUUAAAUGCAAUGCUGAUUCCAUGUAAAUAUCUUACUGGGAUAUCCGAUAAUAUGUGAAAAGCCCGCAAACUUCACAAUUUUGUGAUAGUAUUAGAUUUUGUAAAAUAAAUCUUCUGUUUCUUUUUUUACAAAAAAAGAAAUUGAGAGAGAUG